Molecule: ribosomal RNA, 376 nt
Filed under: uncultured Nitrososphaerota archaeon
Lineage: Archaea; Thermoproteati; Nitrososphaerota
Description: bacterial SSU rRNA
Rfam family: Archaeal small subunit ribosomal RNA
Source: RNAcentral
UUGGGCCUAAAGCAUCCGUAGCCGGCUGUUCAAGUUUCCGGUUAAAUCACACGCUUAACGUAUGGGCUGCCGGAAAUACUGUUCAGCUAGGGAGUGGGAGAGGUGGACGGUACUCGGUAGGAAGGGGUAAAAUCCUUUGAUCUAUUGAUGACCACCUGUGGCGAAGGCGGUCCACCAGAACACGUUCGACGGUGAGGGAUGAAAGCUGGGGGAGCAAACCGGAUUAGAUACCCGGGUAGUCCCAGCUGUAAACGAUGCAGACUCGGUGAUGCACUGGCUUGUGGCCAGUGCAGUGCCGCAGGGAAGCCGUUAAGUUUGCCGCCUGGGAAGUACGUACGCAAGUAUGAAACUUAAAGGAAUUGGCGGGGGAGCACAA